UACGUAGGGUGCGAGCGUUAAUCGGAAUUACUGGGCGUAAAGUGUGCGCAGGCGGCCGAGCAAGUCGAGUGUGAAAGCCCCGAGCUUAACUUGGGAACUGCGCUCGAAACUACUUGGCUAGAGUGUGGCAGAGGGAGGUGGAAUUCCACGUGUAGCGGUGAAAUGCGUAGAUAUCAGGAGGAACACCGGUGGUGUAAACGGCUCUCUGGACCGUAACUGACGCUGAGGCACGAAAGCGUGGGUAGCAAACAGG
Molecule: ribosomal RNA, 253 nt
Filed under: uncultured bacterium
Lineage: Bacteria
Description: partial 16S ribosomal RNA
Rfam family: Bacterial small subunit ribosomal RNA
Source: RNAcentral